UACGUAGGGAGCAAGCGUUGUCCGGAAUCAUUGGGCGUAAAGCGCGCGUAGGUGGCCCCAUAAGUCCGCUGUGAAAGUCAAAGGCUCAACCUUUGAAAGCCGGUGGAUACUGUGGGACUAGAGUACGGAAGAGGCGAGUGGAAUUCCUGGUGUAGCGGUGAAAUGCGCAGAUAUCAGGAGGAAAACCGGUGGCGAAGGCGGGUCUCUGGGCCGAUACUGACGCUGAGGAGCGAAAGCGUGGGGAGCGAACAGG
Molecule: ribosomal RNA, 253 nt
Filed under: uncultured bacterium
Lineage: Bacteria
Description: partial 16S ribosomal RNA
Rfam family: Bacterial small subunit ribosomal RNA
Source: RNAcentral